CAGAGGAGAACAGAAAUCACUGGUCAGCUCUGAAUUCCUCCAUGCAGUGAGAAAUUCCAAGUCGGUUAUGGGUCUGCACCGACCUAGGGAGGGAGCCAAGGACGGUGGAAAGAAUACUGAAUGGAGACACAAGAGGCCAGUUCUGUGAACUCAGGGUUGCCUGGGCGAAGACCUGCAAGCCUCCCAGAUCUGGAUUCCCUACCCAAGUGCCAGGAAGCAUUGUCUCUUCAAGAUGUGCGAUGACCAUGCCGGGUCUAGACCUUUAAGAUUCUACCUCCUUCCUCUUUGCUCGCCAACGUUUUAAAAGUAAUGUGUUUGCUGCAGGCCCUCGCUGGACGAAGUGCAGUGUGCAGUAUGAUUAGAAAUUCAAAGAAAUUUUUUGACAGGAAAUUGUGCAAGAUGGACUUCAUCAGCAUUCCUUUGCUUGUAGAGCACAGAUUUGAAGCAGUACUCCUGUGAUUCUGGGUGUGAGGAUGUAUGUUUUGUGAGGGCUGUGAGUUUGGGGACGAGCGCCUCCGAAGUGAGUUCUCCUCAGUUGGGUUUCAGCAGCAGUGUUCAGCGGACUGCAGGGUGCAGGUGCAGGUGCUGUCUACCACGCCUCGUUACUGAGAAUCAACUGUCUUCCCACCCUCUGUUUGUCAGUGCUUGUUAGAGUCACUGAGACCGGCACACACCUGAGGGAACUACAGCUCAACUGAGAGUUUAAAAUACAUCUUAAGAAACCAAGCCUAAAGAGAUUUUUUUGACAAAGAGUGUUUUCAAACCAUUGUAAAGAUGUUCAAUGACCUCAGAAAAACAAUUCAUAAACAAUGAGAAUAUCGAGAGAGACAGAACAUAUUAAA
This is a long non-coding RNA of Fukomys damarensis (Damara mole-rat), 842 nucleotides long. RefSeq lists it as uncharacterized. The transcript has 3 exons. Lineage: Eukaryota; Metazoa; Chordata; Mammalia; Rodentia; Bathyergidae. The record is from RefSeq and is a predicted model, not a curated record.